AUUUUUAGUUAGUUCAGUAGUUUUAGUUUUAUCCUGACACUGAGACACUGAGGAUGAGCAGAUGAACGUCCAUCUCUGUGUCCAUAUUCAGUCAUGUGACCAUCAUCACUGCUACACUUCCACUAGAUGAACCUCCAUCACUAAAAUUGAAGUCUGAAGCUGCAGGUUUUUCUGUGAAUCAUGAUGAUUGAGCUUCAUAUGAAGAACAGAAGAUCAUUAUGAGAAACUCCACAACAUCAUCCAUGAUAAAAGAGGUCAAAGGUCAUCAAAUAUAUUUCUUUACACAGUGUUAUAUCAGCACACAACAAGAGAAUGAAUGAGAAAUGCAGGAUAGAAAGUCAAACUGAAUGAUAUCUAUUGUAGAUGAAUAAACUCUUCAAUUGCUUGUGAAAAUAAUUACACUGUUUUUCAAGCAAUAACAACAUAUUUUGUCUAUAAUCUAAAUAAGUGUUGAGAAGAUCUGAGUUUCUUCUAAUAUCAGUGUGUUGAAGUGUUGUUUCUCUCUCUCUGCUGGAGUUUGUGUUCACUCGAGUGGAAUAGAGGUUUUUGUACGACCGUUUCAUUAGAUUGUAUCACUGUGGUGGACUUUCGGUGGAGGAACUAAACUGGUGCUCGCUGGUCCCACAGUGAAGCCCUCAGUGUCUCUGCUGCCGCCCUCUUCUCUGCAGAUCUCUGGAGACUCAGCCGCACUGCUCUGCCUGCUCAGCUCUUACUCUCCACAGGGGGCGCUGGUGAGCUGGACACUGGACGGGUCAGAGGUCACCGAGGGGGUCGUGACCAGCGCAGAGAGCCAGCGGGACGGCCGCUACAGCCGCAGUAGCGUCCUGACCCUCAGCAAAGCACGCUGGGAACAGGGAGAGGUGUA
Molecule: long non-coding RNA, 865 nt
Organism: Ctenopharyngodon idella (grass carp)
Lineage: Eukaryota; Metazoa; Chordata; Actinopteri; Cypriniformes; Xenocyprididae
Exons: 3
Source: RefSeq, a predicted model, not a curated record